Molecule: ribosomal RNA, 531 nt
Filed under: soil bacterium LP-P1-30
Lineage: Bacteria
Description: bacterial SSU rRNA
Rfam family: Bacterial small subunit ribosomal RNA
Source: RNAcentral
UGGGGAAUAUUGCACAAUGGGCGAAAGCCUGAUGCAGCGACGCCGCGUGAGGGAUGACGGCCUUCGGGUUGUAAACCUCUUUCAGCAGGGAAGAAGCGAAAGUGACGGUACCUGCAGAAGAAGCGCCGGCUAACUACGUGCCAGCAGCCGCGGUAAUACGUAGGGCGCAAGCGUUGUCCGGAAUUAUUGGGCGUAAAGAGCUCGUAGGCGGCUUGUCACGUCGGUUGUGAAAGCCCGGGGCUUAACCCCGGGUCUGCAGUCGAUACGGGCAGGCUAGAGUGUGGUAGGGGAGAUCGGAAUUCCUGGUGUAGCGGUGAAAUGCGCAGAUAUCAGGAGGAACACCGGUGGCGAAGGCGGAUCUCUGGGCCAUUACUGACGCUGAGGAGCGAAAGCGUGGGGAGCGAACAGGAUUAGAUACCCUGGUAGUCCACGCCGUAAACGGUGGGCACUAGGUGUUGGCGACAUUCCACGUCGUCGGUGCCGCAGCUAACGCAUUAAGUGCCCCGCCUGGGGAGUACGGCCGCAAGGCUA